AAGUUCUCCAGCAACAAGUCCUUUUUCCUGUUCAGGAAAGCCAUUCAUCUCCUUAAGAGGGUCCUUCUGAUUCACAGAGAUAUCUCCUGAAGAUUCUUUUCCCUGCUGAGGCAACUCAGAAGGUUCUUUUCCCUGUUGAGGCAACACAGAAGGUUCUUUUCCCUGUUGAGGCAACACAGAAGGUUCUUUCCCCUGUUGAGGCAACAUAGAAGGUUCUUUUCCCUGUUGAGGCAACACAGACGGUUCUUUUCCCGGUUGAGGCAACACAGACGGUUCUUUUCCCUGUUGAGGCAACACACAAGGUUCUUUUCCCUGUUGAGGCAAGAUAGUGAUCUCCUGAGAUCCAC
RNAcentral lists this long non-coding RNA (347 nucleotides) under Zea mays. RNAcentral's name for it is "long non-coding RNA (ZMAY_LNC001205)". Lineage: Eukaryota; Viridiplantae; Streptophyta; Magnoliopsida; Poales; Poaceae. The record is from RNAcentral.